AUGAAGGUGUUUUUCUGGAGUAAGAGCUGAUUUUCUAGGAGUGAUAUUAUUGUUAGGAUUUAGUUAGAUUGUAGUUGAUUACUAGUUGGAUUAGGAUAAAAAAAAUCUAUUAGAGAUAAAUUAAUAUGAAUUUAGAUAUUUAUUAAAAUAAGUGUUCUAAUUAUAUUAGGAUUGGGAUAGGUUUUAUGUGGGUGCUAUAUAAGGAACUGAAUUAUCAAUAGGUGAGUUAGCCUGGCAUUUUGUCUUGUGGCAGAAGGCCGGAUUGGGGGGAGUCAAGCAGCAUGAGACUGGUUGGGCCGAGUCACAAUCGAGACUUGUAGUCGUUGUUCUUGAACUAUAUAUAUUGACCAUUUUGAGUUGACUUCCUAACCUUCUAAAAUUUUGAUUCUACUAUUUAACCUCUAAACUUAUUUGAUUUGAAUCAAUCAACGGUAUCUUGAUUACAAAAUUGGAAUGCUUCGUUUAUCUUUAUAAAUUUAGUAUAUUUUAUACAAUUCUCGCAACUAUAUAUUCAUUAAAGCCAUGAAUUAGUUUAAAUUUUUAUAUCAAAGUACUGUUGACUAGUUGAAAUCAAAAAAAAAAAUUCUGAGAUAAAAAUUUAAGAUUACUUGGUUAGCUUAAAUUUUGAUGUUAGGCCUUUGAUGUUAGAGGCCUAGCUACUCCCGGGCCUUGGGGGCCUCUGCCCGACCCAUCAUCAUACCGGGCCGGGCGGCCCACAGAUCUGUCGGGCCCGUUUUUGCUCCCAUAGGUAGACAGGACUAGGAAAAAAAUAAAGGCUAAAUUACAUAAAACCUCUCUGUCAAAAUCCGAUUUUUCACUUUCCCUUAUUGUCAUUUAAAAACCUACACUUUGCCCCUUAGUAAAAUAAAAAAUGUUCACUUCGCCUCCUACCGUUAGUAAUCCAUUAGGGUACCGUUUAUAAAAUAUUAUUAUAUAUUUUUUUAUGCCAAAAAUGCCAUCAGUCUUCUCUCCUGUGAAGUGUGAAUAUAGAGAGGGGCAAAAUAGUCAUUUUAUCAUCACAGUUCACACCGUACCCUUCUGUGAAUAUUUUUCAUUUUACAAGGGGGCUAAAGUGUAGGUUUUUAAAUGACAGGGAGGGAAAGUGAAAAAUCGGGUUUUGAUAGGAAGGUUUUCUGUAAUUUAGCCAAAAAUAAAUAAAUAAAGGGCAAUCUUCAAAUCNGACAGGACUAGGAAAAAAAUAAAGGCUAAAUUACAUAAAACCUCUCCGUCAAAAUCCGAUUUUUCACUUUCCUUCAUUGUCAUUUAAAAACCUACACUUUGCCCCUUAGUAAACUAAAAAAUGUUCACUUCGCCCCCUACCGUUAGUAAUCCAUUAGGGUUCCGUUUAUAAAAUAUUAUUAUAUAUUUUUUUAUGCCAAAAAUGCUCUCAGCCUUCUCUCCUGUGAAGUGUGAACAUGGUGAGGGGCAAAAUGGUCAUUUUAUCAUCACAGUUCACACCGUACCCUCCUGUGAACAUUUUUUAUUUUACAAGGGGGGCAAAGUGUAGGUUUUAAAUGCCAGGGGAGGAAAGUGAAAAAUCGGAUUUUGACAGAAAGGUUUUCUGUAAUUUAGCCAAAAAUAAAUAAAUAAAGGGCAAUCUU
This 1601-nucleotide long non-coding RNA is filed under the name Ananas comosus (pineapple). RNAcentral's name for it is "long non-coding RNA (ACOM_LNC044744)". Lineage: Eukaryota; Viridiplantae; Streptophyta; Magnoliopsida; Poales; Bromeliaceae. The record is from RNAcentral.